UAUGAAAAUGUUUUGAUAGUCAAAACACCCAGUUUGAAGGAAUUUCCUUUAUUCCUAGCAGACAUAUGAAAUACCACAAACCAGGUCUUAAAGUGAAAUGAAAAAUGAGGGAAAUGAUCCAGAUCUUCCCAUUAAAAAAGACAGUUUAUUUGAGUGAGAACAGGGCUUUACUCUGGCCCUUGCCAUCUUCAACACCUGCCUCUCAGGUGCCCUCCUGCAUGGAAGGAUCCAGUGCCUCAGAGGACACAGCAAGAGGUGAGAAAAGCCACAUGUACUGACAGCUUAAACCAGCAAUUCCCAGCCACCCUCACCCCACCUAAGCAUCAACCAAUGGAAAAUCUUCACUGAUCCCUAACAAAGAACUUCUGGUUCUGGGGCGCUUUGGUGGUUCAGUCGCUUAAGCAGCAGCAUCUGCCUUCAGUUCUGGUCAUGACCCUGGGGUCCUGAGAGGGAGUCCCACAUCAGGCUCCCUGCUCAGCGGGGAGGCUGCUUUUCCCUCUUCCUCUGUCACAGCCCCCUUGUGCUC
Long non-coding RNA from Canis lupus familiaris (dog), 526 nucleotides. RefSeq lists it as uncharacterized. The record is from RefSeq and is a predicted model, not a curated record. Lineage: Eukaryota; Metazoa; Chordata; Mammalia; Carnivora; Canidae. The transcript has 3 exons.